Molecule: transfer RNA, 73 nt
Filed under: Myctophum nitidulum (pearly lanternfish)
Lineage: Eukaryota; Metazoa; Chordata; Actinopteri; Myctophiformes; Myctophidae
Description: tRNA-Thr
Rfam family: tRNA
About the family: Transfer RNA (tRNA) molecules are approximately 80 nucleotides in length. Their secondary structure includes four short double-helical elements and three loops (D, anti-codon, and T loops).
Source: RNAcentral
GCCCUCGUAGCUCAGAAUCCAGAGCGCCGGUUUUGUAACCCGGAGGCCGGAAGUUCAAAUCUCCCCGAGCGCA